UAAUUUGAUAAUCCGCAAAAAACCUUACCACAGCUUGAAUAUUUAUAUUUUUGAUAUAUUUACAGGAGUUGCACGGCUGUCUUCAGUUAAUGUCGUGAGACUUUGGUUAGAUCCAUUAAAUUAACGCAAGCCCUUACUUUAUUUUAAAAUAAAGUAGUUCCCCACUAUAUUGGAUAUGAUAACAGGGACUAAGACAAGUCAUCAUGGCCUGAAUGCUGU
Molecule: ribosomal RNA, 219 nt
Filed under: Phyllopsora sp. 2 SK-2018
Lineage: Eukaryota; Fungi; Ascomycota; Lecanoromycetes; Lecanorales; Ramalinaceae
Description: partial small subunit ribosomal RNA
Rfam family: Bacterial small subunit ribosomal RNA
Source: RNAcentral